Paramuricea clavata is the source of this 541-nucleotide non-coding RNA. NCBI's taxonomy places the organism in Eukaryota, Metazoa, Cnidaria, Anthozoa, Malacalcyonacea, Plexauridae. The record is from the annotation of a GenBank genome assembly.
AUUAAUCUUUAUUAGGCGAGACUUUUUUUAUUCAUUGGUUUACGGAUCCGCCGACCGUAAAUAUUCAGAAAGUGAAAAAUAAAAAAAUAAAAUUUGGAUGUCAAAAAUUUUACAAUUUUAGUUAAUUUUAAUUAAUUUGGGGUUCUGACAUGAAGUACACUUCAAGUGAACUUUGACUCUAGGUACUGCUGGCUCAUGUUAUCGUUGUGACAAUCAAUAUGUAGAUUAGUCACGUUUUUUGCGUGUUUUUUUUUAAAUUGACGUUAAAAAAUUUUAUAAAGAUUAUUAAUUUCUGUUCUCAUUUAUACUCAGUUCGUUUUUUUUUUAAUUUUUUUUCCGACCUACCAACCUCUUAUUUUUAAAGUCAAAUCCGUAAACCAAUAAAUAAAAAAAGUCUCGCCUUAUUGGGAGGAUGUAGAAAACUCUUCUGCUUUUCGAGUAUCAAAGUUUCCUCUGUUAUAAUUUUUUUGAACUUUUCAUGUUGUUUUGACAUUAAAUUUUGGCUGUGAAACGAGAAUGUAUGUGGAUAUGGGAAAAGGAG